UACGUAGGGUGCGAGCGUUAAUCGGAAUUACUGGGCGUAAAGCGCGCGCAGGCGGCGCCGCAAGUCAGGCGUGAAAUCCCCGAGCUUAACUUGGGAAUGGCGCUUGAAACUACGGUGCUGGAGUGUGGCAGAGGGAGGUGGAAUUCCACGUGUAGCGGUGAAAUGCGUAGAGAUGUGGAGGAACACCGAUGGCGAAGGCAGCCUCCUGGGCCAACACUGACGCUCAUGCACGAAAGCGUGGGGAGCAAACAGG
RNAcentral lists this ribosomal RNA (253 nucleotides) under uncultured bacterium. RNAcentral's name for it is "partial 16S ribosomal RNA". It matches the Rfam family "Bacterial small subunit ribosomal RNA", at positions 524 to 776 of the family's 1533-position model. The record is from RNAcentral.